RNAcentral lists this ribosomal RNA (491 nucleotides) under uncultured bacterium. RNAcentral describes it as "partial 16S ribosomal RNA". It matches the Rfam family "Bacterial small subunit ribosomal RNA", at positions 29 to 507 of the family's 1533-position model. The record is from RNAcentral.
GUGAACGCUGGCGGUAGGCCUAACCCAUGCAAGUCGAACGGCAGCACAGUAAGAGCUUGCUCUUACGGGUGGCGAGUGGCGGACGGGUGAGGAAUACAUCGGAAUCUACUUUUUCGUGGGGGAUAACGUAGGGAAACUUACGCUAAUACCGCAUACGACCUACGGGUGAAAGCAGGGGAUCUUCGGACCUUGCGCGAUUGAAUGAGCCGAUGUCGGAUUAGCUAGUUGGCGGGGUAAAGGCCCACCAAGGCGACGAUCCGUAGCUGGUCUGAGAGGAUGAUCAGCCACACUGGAACUGAGACACGGUCCAGACUCCUACGGGAGGCAGCAGUGGGGAAUAUUGGACAAAGGGCGCAAGCCUGAUCCAGCCAUACCGCGUGGGUGAAGAAGGCCUUCGGGUUGUAAAGCCCUUUUGUUGGGAAAGAAAAGCAGCAGGUUAAUACCCCGCUGUUCUGACGGUACCCAAAGAAUAAGUACCGGCUAACUUCGUG